AAGCUAGGCUCCACCAGCGUCGCGAUUGCUACGGCCCGCACUGAGGCACGCGAGCCCAUCCGCUCGACUUCCCCUCCACUCCACUGAGUCCACUCCCACGAUUCCCCAUGCCCAAUCAUCACCCACCUCGCUGCUCCCCGUCCCCGGAGCAGCUCGCCGUCGCCGCCUGAGCUCCGAAUCCAAUCCGCCAUGCCGGCCGCCGAGAGCUGCCACUCCCGCAGCCUC
Molecule: long non-coding RNA, 225 nt
Filed under: Oryza brachyantha (malo sina)
Lineage: Eukaryota; Viridiplantae; Streptophyta; Magnoliopsida; Poales; Poaceae
Description: long non-coding RNA (OBRA_LNC003382)
Source: RNAcentral